AUGGUUGUCGUCAGCUCGUGUCGUGAGAUGUUGGUUAAGUCCGCAACGAGCGCAACCCCUAUUGUUAGUUGCCAUCAUUCAGUUGGGCACUCUAGCGAGACUGCCGGUAAUAAACCGGAGGAAGGUGGGGAUGACGUCAAAUCAUCAUGCCCCUUAUGACCUGGGCUACACACGUGCUACAAUGGUUGGUACAACGAGUUGCGAGUCGGUGACGGCGAGCUAAUCUCUUAAAGCCAAUCUCAGUUCGGAUUGUAGGCUGCAACUCGCCUACAUGAAGUCGGAAUCGCUAGUAAUCGCGGAUCAGCACGCCGCGGUGAAUACGUUCCCGGGCCUU
RNAcentral lists this ribosomal RNA (334 nucleotides) under uncultured Streptococcus sp. RNAcentral's name for it is "bacterial SSU rRNA". It matches the Rfam family "Bacterial small subunit ribosomal RNA", at positions 1045 to 1382 of the family's 1533-position model. The record is from RNAcentral. Lineage: Bacteria; Bacillati; Bacillota; Bacilli; Lactobacillales; Streptococcaceae.